This is a long non-coding RNA of Astyanax mexicanus (Mexican tetra), 2413 nucleotides long. RefSeq lists it as uncharacterized. The transcript has 2 exons. Lineage: Eukaryota; Metazoa; Chordata; Actinopteri; Characiformes; Acestrorhamphidae. The record is from RefSeq and is a predicted model, not a curated record.
ACACUGUAUUGCCAAAAGUAUUCUGCUUUGGGUUUGGUGAUAUGAGGUUUGGAUGGAGCUGCUAAGCCAUAAAAACUCUCAAUUCCAUGAGUCUCUCUACUCUACUGUUCUUGAUCUAAUCUGAAUCUACAUGAAGUUUGGAGGUGUGUAGUGAUGAACUCUGAAUCUACAUGAAGUUUGGUGGUGUGUAGUGAUGAACUCUGAAGCUACAUGAAGUUUGGAGGUGUGUAGUGAUGAACUCUGAAGCUACAUGAAGUUUGGAGGUGUGUAGUGAUGAACUAAUCUGAAGCUACAUGAAGUUUGGAGGUGAACUCUGUGCACUAUGCUCCUCAGCAUCCGCUGACCCCGCUCUGUUAUUUUACACUGACAGAGUCGGUGUCAUUCCCAGUCUAUUCCACUGUUUUAUAAUAUCACUGACAGUUGGCUGUGGAAUAUUUAGUAGUGAGUAGUGAAAUUUCACGACUGGACUUUUUGUUGCACAGGUGCUGCAUCCUAUCACUGUACCACAGUGCUGGAGUUCACUGAGCUCCUGAGAGCUGAGACACAUUCUUUCAAUGUUUGUAGAAGCAGUCUGCAUGACUAGGUUAUUGAUUUUAUACACCUGUGUACAUGAAAAUGAUCAUAAACCUCUGUGUUUAAUAUGUUGGAUGGGUGAGCAAACACUUCUGGCAAUAUAGUGUAGCAUCCUAUCAGCAUAGGGCCGAUAAAGAUUUCGAUAAAGAAGCCAAAGUAUACCUUGAGUCCUUGAAAGCCUUUAUGUGUAGCUGCUGUCUCACUUGCCUUUAUCCUUUUGCCUUAUAAACUGUGUUUACUUUUUUUUUUUGUUGUUAAACUAAACUGCUUGGCCAAAAUAAAAGUUUACACACUCUAAUGUUUAGUUGGAGCUCCUUUAGCUUUGAUUGCAGCACACAUUUACUGUGGCAUUGUUUCAAUAAGCUUCUGCAAUGUCACAAGAUUUAUUUCAAUCCAGUGUUGCAUUAGAGUCUAAACACUGCACAAAGUCUUCCCCAGCACAUCCCCAAGAUUCUCAAUGAGGUUAAGGUCUGGACUCUGUGGUGAACUCUCUCAAUCCAUGUGUGAAAAUGAUGAUCUCAUGCUCCCCGAAUCACUCUUUCACAAUUCCAGCCCCAUGAAUCCUGAUAUUGUUAUUCUGGUAUAUGGCCGUGCCAUCAGAAAAAUCCAUUGAUGAAAUAACCUGGUCUGUAUUCAGUAUAUUCAGGUAGUCAGCUGACUUCAUUCUUUCAGCACAUACUGUUGCUGAACCUAAACCUGCAGACCAACUGCAGCUUCAACCCCACAUCAUUUAAAUUCAAGUGGUGACUUAGUUUUUUUGGCCAGGCAGUGUACUUUUGUCUUUUUAACCCAUCUUAGCCCAAAAAGAUCUCCUUCAGAACUUGAACUGUGACCCCUACACCCCUAGUUACGAAUCAUUGCACGCUCUUUUGAGCUAGUUAUUGUAUGCUACAAUUCAGUGUAGUUAUGUAAUAGAUAAUAUAUGCAAUUUUUUUUAAUAUUCUACUUAAAAGAAACAGCAAGGGAAAAUGUACAGGGAUUAGGUCCAUUUUAUUAAACUCUGUAUAGUUUUAAGUGUUUUAUUUUAUAAUGAGUGCAGUUUUAUGAGUAGAGAGUAACCCAGUUGUUGACCAAUGCUAAAAUGAACUUUGCUAAAUGCAGUUUAAGCACAAUAAUUGUAAAAAUGUGGCAAAAUGUGCAUGAGCUUUGCAUUCUGUGUUGCUGCUGUUACAAAAAACUUUUUUUAUCUUGUAUUUAGACAUUUUUAAGCUUUCCAAUUUGAGGUAGUAUCUAAUUUCAUACAUUUACAUUUACAUGUACAUUUACAUUACAUUACAUUACAUUUGGCAGACGCUUUUGUCCAAAGCGACUUACAAUAGUGAAGUACAAAAGUAAUAGAAGUUAAAGGUAAAAACAUCUUUAGAUAGGGCCUAAAGGAGGUCAAAGGGAGAUUGUGGGAUAAAGUGAAGGAGGGGAAGAAAGAAAUGAGGUUAGAAGUAGUUAGUAUGUUAGAGGUGUUAGGAGAGUAAGUGCUCUUUGAAGAGCUCUGUCUUCAGGAGUUUCUACAGUUUCUACAUACAGUAAUGUCAGAAAUGUGAAGUGUUAAAAUUGAAAGACUGUGUAUUCUGUUACUUUGCCCUGUUCUUUUCCUUCUAAUUUGACUCUUAAUAUAGAUCUAAUGUACUUAUUUAGUAGUGGAACAGGGAAGAUUAAACACGAUUUAAUACAGUGUUGUAAAGGUUAUGUGGGUCCACAUUAACAGGUAUUUUAUUACUGAAAGUAAUAAACUUGUUUUUUUAAUUAUCUGUGCCUAAUUUCUUUAGUACUUGUUCCUGUAAAAAGUAUAGUAAAACAUUAAACGUAAAAUGUUUUAUUUAAAGGUAAAAUUUCCUUGAAUACC